This is a long non-coding RNA of Pungitius pungitius (ninespine stickleback), 686 nucleotides long. RefSeq lists it as uncharacterized. Lineage: Eukaryota; Metazoa; Chordata; Actinopteri; Perciformes; Gasterosteidae. The transcript has 3 exons. The record is from RefSeq and is a predicted model, not a curated record.
UUUCUUACGGCUUCUCGGGGGUACAAUGUUGGCUUGGGGGUUCCUGUGCGACUCACCUGGUUGUGGCGUUUGUGCCGUGUGGAAUCAAGAAUCAACAGGCUGCUUUGAGCAGGCGUGCGUGACUCUCAGUCUGCAUGGGACGUAUGUCUCCUCCGUAGCAACCAGAUAUUCAAAUGUUUUUUUAAAGCAAAAUAAAACGUCAUUUUUGAUCGAACUGAUUACACAAGGAGAACUGAGGACAUUCCCCUUUGGCGGGAGUGUGUCCUGAAAGCCAUCGAGAAGAUGGAGAUUACCUGAUCAUCUUGACUCUAGAGCAGAUGAUGCUCGGAGGGACCUGGAGCACAGCACUAUGGCAGUGUUUGUCAUUCAGAAAGAGGGAAGAACUGCAGGAGCCACCUGAAGACAUUGGCCUCGUUAUUGAGGCCAUGGAGUUGUUGCCUCAACUCAACCGUUGCAUCAGCUCUUGCCCUGCUUCUAGGGUUGAUAUAUGCUCUCAACCUCUCCUACCAAAAAACACUUUAUUUCACUUUUGAAGUGCUCCAGAAGAUUAUCAUGGAGCUUGAGCAGCAAAAGAUGUCCCCCAAGGUCCAUAAUCUGUAUGGCAGACUUCCAGCCCAAUAAAUAGUGUUUAGAUAUUGGGCAUUUCAGAAUUUAGCCUCUUUGGCUGUUGGGCCUUUGUUAGUUCC